RNAcentral lists this unclassified non-coding RNA (200 nucleotides) under Hymenoscyphus sp. RNAcentral's name for it is "partial internal transcribed spacer 2". The record is from RNAcentral. Lineage: Eukaryota; Fungi; Ascomycota; Leotiomycetes; Helotiales; Helotiaceae.
UUAAGUUCAGCGGGUAUCCCUACCUGAUCCGAGGUCAACCUUAAGAAGUUGGGGGUUGUUGGCAAGCAUCCACCGGGACCCUAUCGCGAGAAAAUUUACUACGCGUAGAGCCCGACGGCACCGCCACUGAUUUUAAGGCCCGCCCGGAGGCGAAGCUCAAGACCCCGCAAGCGGGAGUGGUUAAUAUGACGCUCGAACAG